UGAAAGAGGAGGGACCAGAAGAGAUCUCCCACUGGAGGUCCCUCUGCUCUCCACCCAUAGUAACCACAGAGAAUGCACGAUAGUUGCUAUGAUAAUUAGCUAGCGACAGCUAUGAAGUAUAGGAGUAUCAGCCUGUUCCGACACCGGCACGUUGAGGUCAUGAAGGAUGUUUGCUCUGCUUGGGGAAAUGUGUUUUGGGCAAAAUCGGCAAAAAAACAGAAGGAGCGUUGGUGGAUUUUACAGAAAAUAUGUUAGGAUCACAGUGGGGGAGCAGAGAGCCAGGUAAGCCAUGACAGUGUCCCAUUGAAG
This is a non-coding RNA of Pelobates cultripes (western spadefoot toad), 309 nucleotides long. The record is from the annotation of a GenBank genome assembly. Lineage: Eukaryota; Metazoa; Chordata; Amphibia; Anura; Pelobatidae.